RNAcentral lists this ribosomal RNA (944 nucleotides) under uncultured Bacteroidota bacterium. RNAcentral's name for it is "bacterial SSU rRNA". It matches the Rfam family "Bacterial small subunit ribosomal RNA", at positions 9 to 953 of the family's 1533-position model. The record is from RNAcentral. Lineage: Bacteria; Pseudomonadati; Bacteroidota.
GAGUUUGAUCCUGGCUCAGGAUGAACGCUAGCGGCAGGCCUAACACAUGCAAGUCGAACGGUAACAUGAGAGCUUGCUCUUGAUGACGAGUGGCGCACGGGUGAGUAACGCGUAUGCAAUCUACCUAUAACUGAGGAAUAGCCCAGAGAAAUUUGGAUUAAUACCUCAUAAUAAUAUUAUUUGGCAUCAUUUAAUAUUUAANACUCCGGUGGUUAUAGAUGAGCAUGCGUUCUAUUAGUUAGUUGGUGAGGUAAGAGCUCACCAAGACUUCGAUAGAUAGGGGGCCUGAVAGGUGAUCCCCCACACUGGUACUGAGACACGGACCAGACUCCUACGGGAGGCAGCAGUGAGGAAUAUUGCACAAUGGAGGAAACUCUGAUGCAGCCAUGCCGCGUGCMGGACGAAUGCCCUAUGGGUUGUAAACUGCUUUUUUACAAGAAGAAACCUUGGUACGUGUACCAACUUGACGGUAUUGUAAGAAUAAGCACCGGCUAACUCCGUGCCAGCAGCCGCGGUAAUACGGAGGGUGCAAGCGUUAUCCGGAUUUAUUAGGUUUAAAGGGUUCGCAGGCGGAAUUUUAAGUCAGUGGUGAAAGCCUAUAGCUCAACUAUAGAACUGCCACUGAUACUGAUAUUCUUGAGUAUAGAUGAAGUGGGCGGAAUAUGUCAUGUAGCGGUGAAAUGCAUAGAUAUGACAUGGAACACCAAUUGCGAGGGCAGCUCACUAAACUAUUACUGACGCUCAUGAACGAMAGCCUGGGGAGCGAACAGGAUUAGAUACCCUGGUAGUCCAUGCUGUAAACUAUGAUCACUAGAUGUUGGCGAUAUACUGUCAGUGUUUAAGAGAAAUCGUUAAGUGAUCCACCUGGGGAGUACGUUCGCAAGAAUGAMACUCAAAGGAAUUGACGGGGGCCGCCCAAGCGGAGGAACAUGUGGUUUACUCCG